GUGAAUCAUCGAAUUUUUGAACGCAAAUUGCGCUUCCUGGCAUCCCGGGAAGUAUGCCUGUUUGAGGGUCAGUAUUAAUAACAAAUCGGUUUAGUUACAAAUUGUGUCGUUUGCGGAGUUUGGGAUAUCUUAAUUUUUUUGGUUAACAGGCCUAAAAUUGGUUUUUUUUGCGAAUUUUUCAACGUAUAUAAAUUUUUUUUAUUCGUCUAU
Molecule: unclassified non-coding RNA, 210 nt
Filed under: Glomeromycetes sp.
Lineage: Eukaryota; Fungi; Glomeromycota; Glomeromycetes
Description: partial contains 5.8S ribosomal RNA and internal transcribed spacer 2
Rfam family: 5.8S ribosomal RNA (bases 1-71)
Source: RNAcentral